GACGAACGCUGGCGGCGGGCUUAACACAUGCAAGUCGAACGGAAAGGCCCUGCUUGUGUGGGGUGCUCGAGUGGCGAACGGGUGAGUAACACGUGAGUAACCUGCCCUGGACUUUGGGAUAACUUCAGGAAACUGGGGCUAAUACCGGAUAGGAGCUCCUGCUGCAUGGUGGGGGUUGGAAAGUUUCGGCGGUGGGGGAUGGACUCGCGGCUUAUCAGCUUGUUGGUGGGGUAGUGGCUUACCAAGGCUUUGACGGGUAGCCGGCCUGAGAGGGUGACCGGCCACAAUGGGACUGAGAUACGGCCCAGACUCCUACGGGAGGCAGCAGUGGGGAAUAUUACACAAUGGGCGGACGCCUGAUGAAGCAGCGCCGCGUGCGGGAUGACGGCCUUCGGGUUGUAAACCGCUUUCGCCUGUGACGAAGCGUGAGUGACGGUAAUGGGUAAAGAAGCACCGGCUAACUACGUG
RNAcentral lists this ribosomal RNA (468 nucleotides) under uncultured bacterium. RNAcentral's name for it is "partial 16S ribosomal RNA". It matches the Rfam family "Bacterial small subunit ribosomal RNA", at positions 28 to 507 of the family's 1533-position model. The record is from RNAcentral.